Molecule: ribosomal RNA, 878 nt
Filed under: Candovia coenosa
Lineage: Eukaryota; Metazoa; Arthropoda; Insecta; Phasmatodea; Lonchodidae
Description: SSU rRNA
Rfam family: Eukaryotic small subunit ribosomal RNA
Source: RNAcentral
ACUCCCGGCACGGNGAGGUAGUGACGAAAAAUAACGAUACGGGACUCAUCCGAGGCCCCGUAAUCGGAAUGAGUACACUCUAAACCCUUUAACGAGUAUCCAUUUGGAGGGCAAGUCUGGUGCCAGCAGCCGCGGUAAUUCCAGCUCCAAUAGCGUAUAUUAAAGUUGUUGCGGUUAAAAAGCUCGUAGUUGGACUUGUGUCCCACGCUGUCGGUUCACCGUUCGUCGGUGUUUAACUGGCAUGCCCGUGCGGACGUCCUGCCGGUGGAUGCGGUCGGCCGUGGGCCUCUGGUCUGCGUGUCGGCGGUCCGAUGCAAUCCUACCGCGGUGCUCUUCACCGAGUGUCGAGGUGGGCCGGCACGUUUACUUUGAACAAAUUAGAGUGCUCAAAGCAGGCAGUGGUUCGCCUGAAUAUUGUGUGCAUGGAAUAAUGGAAUAGGACCUCGGUUCUAUUUUGUUGGUUUUCGGAACCUGAGGUAAUGAUUAAUAGGGACAGACGGGGGCAUUCGUAUUGCGACGUUAGAGGUGAAAUUCUUGGAUCGUCGCAAGACGAACCUAAGCGAAAGCAUUUGCCAUGAGUGUUUUCAUUAAUCAAGAACGAAAGUUAGAGGUUCGAAGGCGAUCAGAUACCGCCCUAGUUCUAACCAUAAACGAUGCCAGCUAGCGAUCCGCCGAAGUUCCUCCGAUGACUCGGCGGGCAGCUUCCGGGAAACCAAAGCUUUUGGGUUCCGGGGGAAGUAUGGUUGCAAAGCUGAAACUUAAAGGAAUUGACGGAAGGGCACCACCAGGAGUGGAGCCUGCGGCUUAAUUUGACUCAACACGGGAAACCUCACCANGCCCGGACACCGGAAGGAUUGACAGAUUGAUAGCUCUUUCUU